This 310-nucleotide ribosomal RNA is filed under the name uncultured bacterium. RNAcentral describes it as "bacterial SSU rRNA". It matches the Rfam family "Bacterial small subunit ribosomal RNA", at positions 28 to 334 of the family's 1533-position model. The record is from RNAcentral.
GACGAACGCUGGCGGCGUGCCUAACACAUGCAAGUCGAACGGUAACAGGAAACAGCUUGCUGUUUCGCUGACGAGUGGCGGACGGGUGAGUAAUGUCUGGGAAACUGCCUGAUGGAGGGGGAUAACUACUGGAAACGGUAGCUAAUACCGCAUAACGUCGCAAGACCAAAGAGGGGGACCUUCGGGCCUCUUGCCAUCGGAUGUGCCCAGAUGGGAUUAGCUAGUAGGUGGGGUAACGGCUCACCUAGGCGACGAUCCCUAGCUGGUCUGAGAGGAUGACCAGCCACACUGGAACUGAGACACGGUCCAG